Elaeis guineensis (African oil palm) is the source of this 753-nucleotide non-coding RNA. The record is from RefSeq and is a predicted model, not a curated record. NCBI's taxonomy places the organism in Eukaryota, Viridiplantae, Streptophyta, Magnoliopsida, Arecales, Arecaceae.
UGGAUAAACAGGAUUUCUGGGCCCUUUGGUAUUUGCAUGAUAAGUCCUGCGUUAAUCCUAAUCCCUAAACAAUUGGAACUCUCGAAGCGGUGUAUACUUUGUAAAUAAAGGGGUCAUAAAGCAUGAAUCAGUCUGGACCUGGUAAAAUCUCCAUUGCUAGGGUUUGACAUCAGGGCUUCCAAGAGACCUUUUCCUGGGCUAGUGUGAUUAAACUUUUCAACCACACAGCAACGACAGGCAUGUCCAAGGCCACCGAAUCAACCGCGCUCCACAUCCCCAAAGAUCGGUGUCAGUACCUCGUGAAUGCAUGACCCCUCUUGCAAAGCGAGGUUACAGAAGGAAGGUUGAUCAACAUGGCCAUGGAACUCCACCAGAAAGCUUCUGCACAGAGAAAACGUGGAUUUGGUUUCUAUUAAUGUUGGACGCACCUCCUCUCAAGCCAUAAGCCUCAAGACCAAGCAAGAGGUCGAGCAGGGUACGAGCACAAGCAUCGCCGGAGACAGUCCAAUGGUCCACAUAAUUGGGUCCUCAUCAGCCAUUAUUCAUGCACUGGACCUUCUACCCCAACUCAUGGUUCCACGUUAAAAUUCGCAAAGGAUGGGAACAUUGUUGCCAUCCCUACACGUAUUCAUUGGUUCCAAUGAGAACCGAGUUUUUGUGCGACUAUGUAUUUUUGUUAGUAUAACGUCUGUAACAUCUAACUUCAAUGUUCUUUUCUUCUUUAUUCGGUGCCAAUCAGAAAAAGUUAAUAAA